RNAcentral lists this transfer RNA (85 nucleotides) under Pleurotus eryngii. RNAcentral describes it as "tRNA-Glu". It matches the Rfam family "tRNA". Rfam says of the family: Transfer RNA (tRNA) molecules are approximately 80 nucleotides in length. Their secondary structure includes four short double-helical elements and three loops (D, anti-codon, and T loops). Further hydrogen bonds mediate the characteristic L-shaped molecular structure. tRNAs have two regions of fundamental functional importance: the anti-codon, which is responsible for specific mRNA codon recognition, and the 3' end, to which the tRNAs corresponding amino acid is attached (by aminoacyl-tRNA synthetases). tRNAs cope with the degeneracy of the genetic code in two manners: having more than one tRNA (with a specific anti-codon) for a particular amino acid; and 'wobble' base-pairing, i.e. permitting non-standard base-pairing at the 3rd anti-codon position. The record is from RNAcentral. Lineage: Eukaryota; Fungi; Basidiomycota; Agaricomycetes; Agaricales; Pleurotaceae.
UCGGAUAUGGUGUAACGGCUAACAUUGCCGCCUCUCAUUACUUUGUAGAUCGCGGCAGCUCGGGGUUCGAUUCCCCGUAUCCGAA